Molecule: ribosomal RNA, 301 nt
Filed under: uncultured bacterium
Lineage: Bacteria
Description: partial 16S ribosomal RNA
Rfam family: Bacterial small subunit ribosomal RNA
Source: RNAcentral
CAGUCGCCGCGGUAAUACCGAGGGUGCAAGCGUUAAUCGGAAUUACUGGGCGUAAAGCGCGCGUAGGUGGUUUGUUAAGUUGGAUGUGAAAUCCCCGGGCUCAACCUGGGAACUGCAUCCAAAACUGGCAAGCUAGAGUAUGGUAGAGGGUGGUGGAAUUUCCUGUGUAGCGGUGAAAUGCGUAGAUAUAGGAAGGAACACCAGUGGCGAAGGCGACCACCUGGACUGAUACUGACACUGAGGUGCGAAAGCGUGGGGAGCAAACAGGAUUAGAUACCCCUGUAGUCCCUGUCUCUUAUAA